RNAcentral lists this long non-coding RNA (375 nucleotides) under Malus domestica (apple). RNAcentral describes it as "long non-coding RNA (MDOM_LNC008359)". Lineage: Eukaryota; Viridiplantae; Streptophyta; Magnoliopsida; Rosales; Rosaceae. The record is from RNAcentral.
UUUUAAAGGCCUUCCUCCCAGAAGGCAAGUUUCGAACCUUCCUCUUUGUUGCCCUUAUGCGCCAUCUUCCUCUUACCAACCCCAGGGGCUUUAGAUCUCUUUACUACUGAUAGAUUUUUCAUUCACAAUCAAUAACACAUAAUUCCAGAUCCGUGGGGAUGGGUCCUAUUUUCUCCAUCUUUGGGGGUUGUUUUUCAUUCACAAUCAAUAAUACAUAAUUCCAGAUCCAUGGGGAUGGGUAUUCUUUUCUCCAUCUUUGUGGGUUGGGAAUGGGAUUAACAGAGAUCCGGAGGAGACUGAAGAAGGGAUUACGGUUGGACGACGAAGGAAGGGGUAGGAGUGGGAUCGACGGGAAGGAGAUGCGAUUGGGAUGGA